AUGGCGGCCACACAGACGAGGUGUUAUUGCCAGUGGUCAUAAAGAGGGCAUUUUUAUUGACAAUUCCUAACCGAGUCAGACGUCACCUUGCCCUUGUUACACGCCUCGACGCCUUUCCGGGGGGGGCAUUUUUUUUCCUCUUUAAAACACGUUUUCAGCCACCUCAACAUGUUCACGUUGUAGCUGGCGGAGAGCAGUCUACUCGCUAGCCGCAACCCCAAGCCGCCGUCAAGUGGAGAAUGGGAGAAAAGCUGGAGCUCAGGCUCAAAUCGCCGGUUGGAGCAGAAGCCGCUGGCUACCCUUGGCCAUUACCGGUUUACGAUAAACACCACGAUGCUGCCCAUGAAAUCAUCGAGACCAUCCGGUGGGUGUGCGAGGAGAUUCCAGACCUCAAGUUGGCAAUGGAAAACUAUGUGCUCAUCGACUACGACACCAAGAGUUAUGAGAGUAUGCAGAGACUGUGUGACAAAUACAACAGGGCCAUUGACAGCAUUCACCAGCUGUGGAAAGGGACCACCCAGCCCAUGAAGCUGAACAAGCGCCCUUCCAACGGGCUGCUGCGGCACAUCCUCCAGCAAGUGUACAACCACUCGGUUACCGACCCGGAGAAGCUGAACAACUACGAGCCCUUCUCACCUGAGGUGUACGGCGAGACCUCCUUCGACCUGGUGGCGCAGAUCAUCGAUGAGAUGGAAAUGAUGGAAGAUGACACCUUUGUGGACCUCGGCAGUGGUGUGGGUCAGGUAGUGCUACAGGUUGCAGCAGCGACCAACUGCAAACACUACUACGGCGUCGAGAAAGCAGACAUUCCAGCAACCUAUGCAGAGACCAUGGACAAAGAGUUUAAAAAGUGGAUGAAAUGGUAUGGGAAGAAACACGGGGAGUACACUCUGGAAAGAGGAGAUUUUCUGUCUGAAGAAUGGAAAGAAAGGAUCGCCAACACAAGUAUUAUUUUUGUGAAUAAUUUUGCCUUUGGUCCAGAGGUAGAUCACCAGCUGAAGGAACGUUUUGCUAACAUGAAGGAAGGUGGAAAAAUUGUAUCCUCCAAACCAUUUGCACCUUUAAACUUUCGCAUAAACAGCCGAAACUUGAGUGAUAUAGGCACAAUAAUGCGUGUGGUAGAGCUCUCGCCACUGAGGGGCUCAGUGUCCUGGACUGGAAAGCCAGUCUCCUACUACCUGCACACCAUAGACCGCACCAUACUUGAAAACUACUUUGCUAGUCUAAAAAAUCCUAAACUCAGGGAAGAGCAAGAGGCAGCUCGGCGACGUCAGCAGAAAGAUACAAAGGACAGCAAAAGCAAUAGCACCACGCCCACCAAACAUAAGGAACAAAACAAGCAGGACUCCUGUGGGGAGGAGGAAUGCCCCCCGUUGGUGACUGUGGUCAAGCCUCCCGCCAAGCCCCGUCAAACUAAGCUCUUGGCCAAGGGUCGGAAGCUGAACAACAGGAAGAGGGGUCGACCCAAGAAGGCGGCGCCGGCUGUCGACAAGAAGAAGAACCAGAGCGCGUUGGAUUUGCUGCACGCCAAGACCCUUUCAGCAGCACCCCCUCAGGAUGCAUACCUGCAACCACGGAGUCCCUUUUACCAACUACCUCCUAAGGUUCAGCACUAUCCAGCCAAUCAAAUGCUGCUGAGCCCAACCCCUCCUGGUCUGCAACAACUGCUAGAUAACAUCAAAGUUCAAUACCUCCAGUUUAUGGCCUACAUGAAGACUCCUCAGUAUCAAUCCAAUCUGCAGCAGAUUUUAGAGCAGGAGAAGCAAAAACACAUGGAUUUAUCCAUGCAGGCAGAGCAGCUCCAUUCUAUCUGUCAGUCUCACAAGGACAAAAUUAAAGGUCUCUUUCAGACCAAACUGGAUGAGCUGGGAGUGAAAGCUCUCACUGUGGAGGACCUGCUGCAGGCACAGAAGGAGAUAUCUGCCCACAACCAUCAGCUGAAAGAGCAGACCAAACAGCUUGAGAGAGACAUGGCUUUACUGAGAAAUCACAGUGUGCUGUUGCUGAAGUCUCGAUGUGAGGAGCUGAAGUUAGAUUGGGGCUCUUUGAGUCUGGAGAGUCUACUGAAGGAGAAGCUGGCCUUGCGGAGACAGAUCUCUGAGAAGCAGAGACACUGCUUGGAGUUACAGAUUAGCAUAGUAGAGCUGGAGAAAAGUCAAAGGCAGCAGGAGCUGCUUCAGCUCAAAUCUUACAGCCCUCAUGAGGGCUCCCCUUACCGAAAGAACCUGGAAUCCCGUUCCUCUGCUGACAUGGACCCCUCCAAGUUUGGCCUGUCCUCAGUCCCAGCUCUCAAUGGCAUAAGCCCGGAACGCUCCAUAAAUGGCACCCACUCGCCCUCUUUCGACCGUGUGAACACCAAGACGGAGCUUAUUUCACGCUAUCUGCCGAUCUCUCCUGACCACGACACUGGGACGGCUAUGCCUGAGCCUCGACAGAGGCAGCACAUCUCCCACACGCUUCCCGACUACACGCGCUUCUCCCCCGCCAAAAUUGCCUUGCGUAGGCACCUCAACCAGGAACCCACUGCCGCUGGCCACUUGAGAGGCCCUGGGCUGCCCACAAACAGAGGCGAAAUGGGUGGGCUUCACUCACCUCUCGGAGCCAAGCAGAGCAGCCCAUCUCCUAAUGCAUUAGAUGCGCAGAAUACUCAGAAGAGCACUGAGAGGGGUGGAAAGGAGAAGAGUCCAUCUAUUCAGGCAGAUAGCAGUAUCACAAGCCUUCCAAUAAGUAUUCCACUGAGCACUGUUCACCCAAGCAAACUUCCAGUCAGCAUUCCACUGGCCAGCGUGGUGCUUCCCAGUCGGGCUGAGAGACUGAGAAAUACUCCCAGUCCUGUGUCUCAGGCCAGUCAAAUUAAUGGAUAUUCAUCUAGCUCAGGACUCAUGAAUGGAGGUCCCCAUCCAGAGGAACAAAAUGGUGCUUCUUCAUCACCUCCACACACAAACCCGCCUCUGGGGGGACCCAUGAGCAGAGGAGGUCCAAUCCAGAGCCCCCCACUCAGCACUGGAGGGGUUCUUCAUUAUGCAGACGGACCCCCAAGGAUUCUUCCAGAAGACUGCCAGGAACGUCAGGAGGCAGAGUCAGAGACAGAGCCCCAGGACAAUGAACUGCGGAGGAGAAUCUUUUUCUCCUCUUCCUCCUCCUCCUCUUCCUCAUCAGCAGGCAGCGUGGUCACAGGAUCGCGCCUUCAUCAUCACGCUGGCAGCUCGACCAAGCAGGGAUAUCUCAGUAACCACGGAAACCACAACCACCAGUCACCCGGCACGCAGCGCGCUCACACGCCCCCCGCGCACACGUCGUCAUCACAGUCCACACACGGCCUCGCUCCUCAAGAAGGACGUAAGCGGGGUAGGCGGAAGCGCGGCUCUACAGGAGCUGUCGCAGCCUGCGGCUCCCCAAAGAGGAGGUCGUUCCCCGGGAUCAAUGCUAACAACCACUCCUCCGGGUCCCCACUAAACAUUAAUUCCAUGGUGAACAACAUCAACCAGCCUUUGGAGAUCGCCGCCAUCUCCUCGCCGGAGCAGUCAAGCCGCAGCCCCGCUGCACCAGCCCUCGACCAACCUCCAGUUCUGAAGAGGGAGCGCCCCCUGGAAGUCAAUGGCACUGGUCGUUACUCCUCCGCCCCCAGCACUGAUGAUGAGGACUCGGGAUACCCAGCUGACAGCACCAGUUCAAGAAUUGAAAGAAAAAUUGCUACGAUAUCCUUGGAGAGCAGAGAUGGACCCAGUAGACUUGGAGAUAGUGAAAGAGGCCGGAAGUCAGGCAGCAGCAGUGGUAACAGCACAGCAAGUGAGGCCUCCUCCUCAUCAUCAUUAUCCUCGACAAGCAAAUGGAAGUCAACCUUUUCACCCAUUUCUGACCUCAAACAACCCAACUCUGACCAAAGACAAGGGGGCUCGCCGUUUGGAAUGGCAGGGUCAAACUCAGACACUGAUUACAAAAACCACCAACAGCCCAGGAAGGGGAGCGAUGGAGAGAUAUCCACCUACAUGAAUCCCAACCCUUUCCUGAGCCAAGAGGCUGGCAACCGCACCACUGGGAGUGGAGGAGGCCAGGCUGGCAACGGUCCUGACUCCCGCCAGGUUCUACAAAAGCAGAAGGCCAUUCGUGAUUGGGAGCUGAAGACAAGCAGCAGCCAUUCCAGUCAGAAUCUCUUCAUAACUGCUGCUGCCAGCAGCGGUGCGGGCAUUCUGAGCGGAAAAGUCGGUGGCAGCCCUGUCACAGUUUCAACAGGAUCUUCAGUGGGUCAGUACCUGGGCUCUCAGUUCCCACUCGGAGGGACUUCGGUCUUACAGUCGUUGUUCGGGGCCCAGACAGGAAGCUCCGGCGCGAGCGUGAACGCACGACUGGUCAACGGACACUCUGGCCUGGGCAGCUUCUCUAGUGCUGGGCUUGCAGGUGGAGCAGCAGGAGGUACCUUUCUCCACACUGUUCCCUCAGUAUCCUCCCAUCAGUUUGGGGUGGCGCUGCCCACCACCGGAGGCCUCAGCUCUCUGCUCACUCUCUCCUCCCAACCUGCUUCCAUGAGACUAGCCUCCGCGGCCUCACCUCUACCUCCCUCCCUGUUGCAGGCCCAGCAUAGUCGCACCCAGUCAGUGCUACACAGCCCCUCCCCUCCCAUGCUCUCUUUGCCCCCUCCGCCGCCCCUGCACAGCGCCCCCUCCUCCUCCAUCUCGGCAACCACGCCCGCCAACACCUCGCCGACACCCCACUCUUCCCGUCUCUCCCACUCCUCACUCCAUCACCACAGGGUGCAUUCGUCCCAUGCCCUCACUGUCUCCUCCUCUUCUUCCUCUGUCGUUCUCGCUCACACCUCCUCCAUGUCUCGUCCAUACACUGUGCACUACUCUCCACGCUUGCCACCUCCACCUCCCGCCACCAGCUCAGGUGGUGGCGGGAGCAUGCGGAGGACUCAGAGCAUGCAUGGCACCUACACCAACACCACAACUCCACUCCCUGGCUCCCGACCAAGAUAGGUUUUGGGGGGAGGGUGGUGUAAGGGGCAAACAGAGAGAGAGAGAGAGAGAGAGAGAGAGAGAGAGAGAGGCUUGUCGGGAGUUGAUUGUUCUAAAUAAACAAGGUAAUUGCUGAAAACUACCUCAACAUCAAAUAAACUAUGCAAAUGUCAAGGUGUGGACCCAAGGCACUCUGCACCUCACUUACUGGUGCUUUAAUAUAUCUGUACUACCAGACCGCCUCCAAGACCGGCUUCUGUACUGGGGGACGCACGCACACACACACAAACACACGCACACACAGACACUCAGUGCAGUGAUCACCAUGAGCAGAUUUCAAAGGAACCGGUUUAGAUGUCAAUUAUUGUUUCAUACAUCUUUGUAAGACAUUAAGAAAUUAAUUUCCACCUCCAUGACUUAAUGCAACAAGCACACAACUUUCUGUCUCGGAGGAGCCACUUCCUGUUUGACCCAUUCAUUGAUUUCUGCUCAGACGUCACGCUUUUUUUUUUUUCUCUUUCAUUUCAUUUUUUUUCUUACAUCUGACAUAUGAAACAGGAUGAGGAAAUUCAUGUUUUGAUUAAGUUCACACUGGAUAACAACAUAGUUGCGUUUUGUUGCAUUAUGGUUUUGUCUAAUUAGGACCCACCGAUCUUUUCAUUCAAAAGUAACAAAGAAAAAGGUUUUUGUGGAACUAAUCCGUCUGCUUUAUGCUCACAGAGCUCUAGUUUCCUAGCUAACUGGAUCAAAGCACUUCUGUCAUCACACUAACAUAUCAGUGGAGGUUACUGACUUACUGUAUGCCAUCAUACAUUAAAAAGUGUUUACUCCAAUUUUUUCAGCCUAGUUUAGAAAUGUUAAAGGUGUGAACAUGACUUACUAUUCUGCUAUUAAAUGGUGCUCUGUGUUCGUUUGCUCUGGCACUGCUGUCGAGUUAAGUGAAGCUAAAUCCAGGUAGAUAUCAAUAAUAAUAAUGACAGGAAGAAAACGAGACUGCGUGUGUUUCUGUAUUUAUUAUUCAUGUUUUUCCAAGUGGCACUACUUUGAGCCCCCCCUCAAAGCAGGAUGUUUUUUAACCUCUUCUUAAGCUAAACUUUUUAUAUUUAUUUGAGCUGCUGGGCACCAUGGGUGUAUACUGAGGUUUUACAACUCUAAAAAGCGUUAAACAUACACACACAAACCAUCACACACUGGGAAAAUCUUUUUACCAUUCACCACAACAAACUACUGGACUAGUUCACACAUUUUUGUGUUGUCGUUUUUGUCUUUGUACUGUGAAUAUGAUUCAUUCUCUUGACUGUACAGUUGUUAGAUUUAUAUAUUUAUGUCCCCCUAUUUGCCCC
This is an RNA transcript of Phycodurus eques (leafy seadragon), 6298 nucleotides long. It is a transcript of the gene named DOT1-like histone H3K79 methyltransferase, with no coding region annotated. NCBI's taxonomy places the organism in Eukaryota, Metazoa, Chordata, Actinopteri, Syngnathiformes, Syngnathidae. The record is from RefSeq and is a predicted model, not a curated record. The transcript is spliced from 29 exons.